GAUGAACGCUGGCGGCGUGCCUAAUACAUGCAAGUCGAGCGAACAGACGAGGAGCUUGCUCCUCUGACGUUAGCGGCGGACGGGUGAGUAACACGUGGAUAACCUACCUAUAAGACUGGGAUAACUUCGGGAAACCGGAGCUAAUACCGGAUAAUAUAUUGAACCGCAUGGUUCAAUAGUGAAAGACGGUUUUGCUGUCACUUAUAGAUGGAUCCGCGCCGCAUUAGCUAGUUGGUAAGGUAACGGCUUACCAAGGCAACGAUGCGUAGCCGACCUGAGAGGGUGAUCGGCCACACUGGAACUGAGACACGGUCCAGCCUCCUACGGGAGGCAGCAGUAGGGAAUCUCCCGCAAUGGGCGAAAGCCUGACGGAGCAACGCCGCGUGAGUGAUGAAGGUCUUCGGAUCGUAAAACUCUGUUAUUAGGGAAGAACAAAUGUGUAAGUAACUAUGCACGUCUUGACGGUACCUAAUCAGAAAGCCACGGCUAACUACGUG
Molecule: ribosomal RNA, 497 nt
Filed under: uncultured bacterium
Lineage: Bacteria
Description: partial 16S ribosomal RNA
Rfam family: Bacterial small subunit ribosomal RNA
Source: RNAcentral